Molecule: ribosomal RNA, 491 nt
Filed under: uncultured bacterium
Lineage: Bacteria
Description: bacterial SSU rRNA
Rfam family: Bacterial small subunit ribosomal RNA
Source: RNAcentral
GAUGAACGCUAGCGAUAGGCCUAACACAUGCAAGUCGAGGGGCAUCACAUGAAGUAGCAAUACGGAUGGUGGCGACCGGCGCACGGGUGAGUAACACGUAUGCAACCUGCCUUCAACAAGGGGAUAACCCGUUGAAAGACGGACUAAUACCCUAUAACACAGGGGUCCCGCAUGGGAAUAUUUGUUAAAGGACAACCGGUUGAAGAUGGGCAUGCGUUCCAUUAGCUAGUUGGCGGGGUAACGGCCCACCAAGGCAACGAUGGAUAGGGGAACUGAGAGGUUUAUCCCCCACACUGGUACUGAGACACGGACCAGACUCCUACGGGAGGCAGCAGUGAGGAAUAUUGGUCAAUGGACGCAAGUCUGAACCAGCCACGUCGCGUGAAGGAAGACGGCCCUACGGGUUGUAAACUUCUUUUAUACGGGGAAUAAAGUGCCCCACGCGUGGGGUUUUGCAUGUACCGUAUGAAUAAGGAUCGGCUAACUCCGUG